ACGCACGCUGGCGGCGUGCUUAACACCUGCCAGUCGAACGGAAAGGCCCUGCUUUUGUGGGGUGCUCGCGUGGCGAACGGGUGAGUAACACGUGAGUAACCUGCCCUUGACUUUGGGAUAACUUCAGGAAACUGGGGCUAAUACCGGAUAGGAGCUCCUGCUGCAUGGUGGGGGUUGGAAAGUUUCGGCGGUUGGGGAUGGACUCGCGGCUUAUCAGCUUGUUGGUGGGGUAGUGGCUUACCAAGGCUUUGACGGGUAGCCGGCCUGAGAGGGUGACCGGCCACAUUGGGACUGAGAUACGGCCCAGACUCCUACGGGAGGCAGCAGUGGGGAAUAUUGCACAAUGGGCGGAAGCCUGAUGCAGCAACGCCGCGUGCGGGAUGACGGCCUUCGGGUUGUAAACCGCUUUCGCCUGUGACGAAGCGUGAGUGACGGUAAUGGGUAAAGAAGCACCGGCUAACUACGUG
RNAcentral lists this ribosomal RNA (467 nucleotides) under uncultured bacterium. Its description in RNAcentral is "partial 16S ribosomal RNA". It matches the Rfam family "Bacterial small subunit ribosomal RNA", at positions 29 to 507 of the family's 1533-position model. The record is from RNAcentral.